Long non-coding RNA from Amphiprion ocellaris (clown anemonefish), 343 nucleotides. The record is from Ensembl. NCBI's taxonomy places the organism in Eukaryota, Metazoa, Chordata, Actinopteri, Pomacentridae.
GAGGAGGAGGAGGAGGAUGAAACUGCAGAUGAUGAAGGUCUUGUCAGUUUAUCAGCAGGCCAAACCCUCCAGAUUUUAUCUCGGUGUGGCCUAGUCAGUUCUGUCUGAGAGGCCUCCUUAUCGGCGCAGUGCUCUGGCCUCCACUGCUCUAUCUCUGGUUGGCACAUUGAGCUGCAAUGAGCAGUUGUUGGCAGCAACAUCAAGAGACACGUCAAGGAAAGAAAAUGGAACACAAAACGAAUCAACAAUCAAUUGCACCGAGUUACAGAAACUAUACGACGACAGGAAAACUGACCCCAACAGGAUGUUCUGGAGACCACACUCAGAACUUCUGCUUCAGGCA